RNAcentral lists this unclassified non-coding RNA (19 nucleotides) under Dictyostelium discoideum. Lineage: Eukaryota; Evosea; Eumycetozoa; Dictyosteliales; Dictyosteliaceae. The record is from RNAcentral.
GUUUGGAAAGAAUUGGGUC